UUCAAGAGUGCUUGUGAAUUAAGAUUCAUGGAAAUAGAAAGCAUUGAAAAUUUUUCAGGCUUUAAAAGAGGUUUCAACAAAUAACUUCAUAGCACAUGCUUUUUUAAAAAGGUUUUGAAACUAGGGAAAAGAUUUUUAACUAAGUAACUUAAAUCAACUGAGGCAUGUUUAGUUCUAGUUUCCUUUGAUAAUUUCUUUAAGCCUUCUUGAAUUCAUAAGAAUAAAGAUCUAUAUAUUGUAAUAUUUGUUCACAUAAUGAUUGGGGCGUAUCAGUGCCCAGUGUGUAAUUUUUUUUUAUUUAAAAAACGUCUGCCUAGCUUUCUUCUUGCUGCUCCAAUUAACACAUUCAGUGAAUGCUUGCCAUUGAGUGGUCUGUGUAUAUGGGUUAAACCACUUUGUUAUUUGUUCAGAUUGCAUUGUUUUGUAGCAGGAAUUAGCUGUGCAUUGUUUAUUCUGUAAAUAAGGAAAAGAAAAAAGCAAAUAAAAAUAAAUGGAAUCUUAAAUGAUUAGGGGCUGUAUGAUUAUAAAUAACAAGGAGUAAUUAUUAGGUUGGAGAAAACCUCUUGUGUUUUCAGAUGUGGUUCAGUCCAUUGAGUAGUGUUUAUCUCCUCCCCUCUGGCCCCACUUCAAAUGAUGGAGACAGAGAAUAGUGAAAUUCUAGUGCUAUGAUUCCUCUUGCUGUCAGAUCCAUUGUUAACUUUAUUUCAUUUAUUAAAGUGUUCUUGCCAUGAAGAUCCUAUCUUUUCGGCUUAUGUUUCUUCUUUUUAAGAAUUUGUUUUAAGAUGUAGAGAUAAUACCUUUGAUUAUUUUAAUGCAGAGUCAGAUGAAGGUAAAGCAGUGUCCUUUUAUUGCUAGAGCUGAAGCUGGAUUUGAGUGGUAUCAAGCUGGCUGGUCCAAGGGGUCAAUUCUCCUGGAUAUUAAUUUUUUUUGCCACCAGCUGUUUGUGAAGCGUAGCUCUGGGCAAUAGCAACAAAAGAUACACGGACCGGAGCCUGUGGGCUGGUGAAUGAGAGAUGGAGCGUUUCUUGGGGUUGGUCAAGCAGAUAAGGAGAUCCAGGAGAAGAAAAGGCAAAAAGUACUGUCCGGAGGAGGAUUAUCAUGAGGGUUAUGAGGAUGUAUAUUAUUAUGCCUCAGAGCACUUUCCAAUUUAUCUCCUUUUCCGGGAGGAGGAAGAAACAGAAGUUUUGGAGUUUUGGAAAAGCACAUUGCUGCAAUCAUGAGGCAAUGCUAGAUUUACCAACAGUACAGUUUUUGAUUUAGAAUUGUCAUUUAAAAAAAAAAAAAAAAAA
Crotalus tigris (Tiger rattlesnake) is the source of this 1289-nucleotide long non-coding RNA. RefSeq lists it as uncharacterized. The transcript is spliced from 2 exons. The record is from RefSeq and is a predicted model, not a curated record. Lineage: Eukaryota; Metazoa; Chordata; Lepidosauria; Squamata; Viperidae.